ACCCGCUGAAUUUAAGCAUAUAAGUAGGCGGUGGAAAAUGAACCAAAUGGGAUUCCUUAAGUAAUUGCGAAUGAACAAGGAAAUGCUCAGCUUGAAAAAUGGGGCCUUUGGCUUUGAAUUGUAAUUUUGAAAUGUAUUGCCAAUGGAGGCGCAGGUGCAAGCCUAUUGAAAGAAAGCGUCAAUGAGGGUGAGAUUCCUUUUUGUCAUUUGCAGUCCUCCGUGCACGGUAUAUAUUUGACGAGUCACACUCCUCGGCAUUGGAAUGCAAAGUGGGUGGUAAAUUCCAUGUAAAGGUAAAUAUAUUAUUGAGACUGAUAGCAAACAAGUACCAUGAGGGAAAUAUGAAAAGGACUUUGAAAAGAGAAUUAAAAGAGUCUGCAUUUGCUGAACAGAAAGCAAACAGAAUUGAUUUUACUUGGUGAGAUUGUUGUGCUUACUCUAUCAUUUAUAUGGUUGAUGUGGGUGCGAUGGUUCUUACCUUGAAUGUCAGCUUCUAUUUCUGCAAAUCAUUACCCUUGCACAUGAAUGGUAAYUUGCCUGCGGGUAUUGGAAUGCAUGUGUUUGCAAUGAUUUGUGAUUUGACGCAUGUGUUUGGUGAAAUUUGUAUAUGCUCUUUUGUCGAAGGGGAAAGCUUACUUUUUUGAGCAUUGCAAGCCCUUACACAUCAGUGCUGGCAAAAUGUUUCUGCUUGACCCGUCUUGAAACACGGUCCAAGG
This 716-nucleotide ribosomal RNA is filed under the name Alexandrium minutum. RNAcentral describes it as "LSU rRNA". It matches the Rfam family "Eukaryotic large subunit ribosomal RNA", at positions 23 to 671 of the family's 3401-position model. The record is from RNAcentral. Lineage: Eukaryota; Dinophyceae; Gonyaulacales; Pyrocystaceae.